This 1699-nucleotide ribosomal RNA is filed under the name Salmonella enterica. RNAcentral describes it as "partial 23S ribosomal RNA". It matches the Rfam family "Bacterial large subunit ribosomal RNA", at positions 1248 to 2925 of the family's 2925-position model. Lineage: Bacteria; Pseudomonadati; Pseudomonadota; Gammaproteobacteria; Enterobacterales; Enterobacteriaceae. RNAcentral also lists the same sequence under 1 other name. The record is from RNAcentral.
CUGCGAAGGUGUGUCGUGAGGCAUGCUGGAGGUAUCAGAAGUGCGAAUGCUGACAUAAGUAACGAUAAAGCGGGUGAAAAGCCCGCUCGCCGGAAGACCAAGGGUUCCUGUCCAACGUUAAUCGGGGCAGGGUGAGUCGACCCCUAAGGCGAGGCCGAAAGGCGUAGUCGAUGGGAAACGGGUUAAUAUUCCCGUACUUGGUGUUACUGCGAAGGGGGGACGGAGAAGGCUAUGUUGGCCGGGCGACGGUUGUCCCGGUUUAAGCGUGUAGGUGUGUGUUCCAGGUAAAUCCGGUUCACUUUAACACUGAGGCGUGAUGACGAGGCACUACGGUGCUGAAGCAACAAAUGCCCUGCUUCCAGGAAAAGCCUCUAAGCAUCAGGUAACAUCAAAUCGUACCCCAAACCGACACAGGUGGUCAGGUAGAGAAUACCAAGGCGCUUGAGAGAACUCGGGUGAAGGAACUAGGCAAAAUGGUGCCGUAACUUCGGGAGAAGGCACGCUGACACGUAGGUGAAGUGAUUUACUCAUGGAGCUGAAGUCAGUCGAAGAUACCAGCUGGCUGCAACUGUUUAUUAAAAACACAGCACUGUGCAAACACGAAAGUGGACGUAUACGGUGUGACGCCUGCCCGGUGCCGGAAGGUUAAUUGAUGGGGUCAGCGCAAGCGAAGCUCCUGAUCGAAGCCCCGGUAAACGGCGGCCGUAACUAUAACGGUCCUAAGGUAGCGAAAUUCCUUGUCGGGUAAGUUCCGACCUGCACGAAUGGCGUAAUGAUGGCCAGGCUGUCUCCACCCGAGACUCAGUGAAAUUGAACUCGCUGUGAAGAUGCAGUGUACCCGCGGCAAGACGGAAAGACCCCGUGAACCUUUACUAUAGCUUGACACUGAACAUUGAGCCUUGAUGUGUAGGAUAGGUGGGAGGCUUUGAAGUGUGGACGCCAGUCUGCAUGGAGCCGGCCUUGAAAUACCACCCUUUAAUGUUUGAUGUUCUAACGUGGACCCGUGAUCCGGGUUGCGGACAGUGUCUGGUGGGUAGUUUGACUGGGGCGGUCUCCUCCUAAAGAGUAACGGAGGAGCACGAAGGUUGGCUAAUCCUGGUCGGACAUCAGGAGGUUAGUGCAAUGGCAUAAGCCAGCUUGACUGCGAGCGUGACGGCGCGAGCAGGUGCGAAAGCAGGUCAUAGUGAUCCGGUGGUUCUGAAUGGAAGGGCCAUCGCUCAACGGAUAAAAGGUACUCCGGGGAUAACAGGCUGAUACCGCCCAAGAGUUCAUAUCGACGGCGGUGUUUGGCACCUCGAUGUCGGCUCAUCACAUCCUGGGGCUGAAGUAGGUCCCAAGGGUAUGGCUGUUCGCCAUUUAAAGUGGUACGCGAGCUGGGUUUAGAACGUCGUGAGACAGUUCGGUCCCUAUCUGCCGUGGGCGCUGGAGAACUGAGGGGGGCUGCUCCUAGUACGAGAGGACCGGAGUGGACGCAUCACUGGUGUUCGGGUUGUCAUGCCAAUGGCACUGCCCGGUAGCUAAAUGCGGAAGAGAUAAGUGCUGAAAGCAUCUAAGCACGAAACUUGCCCCGAGAUGAGUUCUCCCUGAGACUUAGAGUCUCCUGAAGGAACGUUGAAGACGACGACGUUGAUAGGCCGGGUGUGUAAGCGCAGCGAUGCGUUGAGCUAACCGGUACUAAUGAACCGUGAGGCUUAACCUU